Long non-coding RNA from Solanum tuberosum (potato), 769 nucleotides. RefSeq lists it as uncharacterized. The transcript has 2 exons. The record is from RefSeq and is a predicted model, not a curated record. Lineage: Eukaryota; Viridiplantae; Streptophyta; Magnoliopsida; Solanales; Solanaceae.
CAAAAGUACAAAACUAUUCAGACUACCAACUAUAAUCACUAAAGCCACAGAUUCACAAUUCAUAAGUCAAAUUUGUAUGCUUGGACCAUAUACACUUCAAAUUGGAUGUUUCUAGCAGAAAAUCUAAUUUAUUUACGGCCAAAUCAAAUUGAAUAUGUAGUUCCCGACCAUCUCAGUUUACAACUUAUAAUGUGUGACAUUUUCAAGUUGUAACACCUAUGUUUCUGUUACAUUAACGUUUUAAGUUGUACCUCUGAAACAAAAUCCUCCAAUUUACCAUGUGAGACAUGUUGAAUUAUCCAAGAAAUCCCUACUUGGACAAUGCAAAGGAAAUAGAGAAGCUGAUAGACGAAUAAAACACAAUUUGUAUGUUCAAGACUUCACACAUUCAUUAGCACCAGUUCUCUUUUCACCAUUCACUUGCAAAAAGCUAAUCUAUUCGUUCACCCUGUCCUUGCAAGUGUGUAAGACUGUAGAGGCUCUACAAUGUAUAUGACCUCUAUUAGCAUUUGUUGCCCCAAUGCAGUCAAAACAACCAGGCUAGAAUAAAAAGGCAACUUGCAAAGAACACUAAGCAAAUACUGCUGCCAAAUUCACUACUCGAAGUUAUUCUAUAAUGCAAAACAGAAUAACACUAUUCUUCUUCAAUCUCUGAAACUAACACACAUUGAACUCUCUAGAGAAUCAGCUGGUACUAUUUGUUGGCAAAAUGGUUUAACAGCAAAUUAUCAGACAGGAUAUGGCUGUCUUAUCAACUUUCAGAAGGAAU